GUGGCCCUACGGGGCGCAGCAGUGAGGAAUAUUGGUCAAUGGGCGAGAGCCUGAACCAGCCAAGUCGCGUGAAGGAUGACGGCCCUACGGGUUGUAAACUUCUUUUGUCAGGGAGCAAUUGAGUCCACGUGUGGGCUUAGCGAGAGUACCUGAAGAAAAAGCAUCGGCUAACUCCGUGCCAGCAGCCGCGGUAAUACGGAGGAUGCGAGCGUUAUCCGGAUUUAUUGGGUUUAAAGGGUGCGUAGGCGGAAUGUCUAGUCAGCGGCA
This 267-nucleotide ribosomal RNA is filed under the name uncultured bacterium. RNAcentral describes it as "partial 16S ribosomal RNA". It matches the Rfam family "Bacterial small subunit ribosomal RNA", at positions 333 to 596 of the family's 1533-position model. The record is from RNAcentral.